Molecule: transfer RNA, 122 nt
Filed under: Phormidium tenue FACHB-886
Lineage: Bacteria; Bacillati; Cyanobacteriota; Cyanophyceae; Oscillatoriales; Oscillatoriaceae
Description: tRNA-OTHER
Source: RNAcentral
UGGCAGGUAGUUUAACAGUAGAACGCCUAACUAUCCUUGUUCACACCUUGCCCGCAAGGGCCGACGAUCGAGGGUUAUCGCUUUGGGAGCAGGAAAUGUGGGUGCAACUCCCACUCUGCCAA